Molecule: long non-coding RNA, 722 nt
Filed under: Gallus gallus (chicken)
Lineage: Eukaryota; Metazoa; Chordata; Aves; Galliformes; Phasianidae
Description: lncRNA (ENSGALG00010003460.1)
Source: RNAcentral
GGAUGGGAAUGGGAUGGACUGGGAUGGAGAUGGGAUGGGGUGGGGUGGGAAUGGAAUGCACUGGGAUGGGAUGGGAUGGACUGGGAUGGAGAUGGGAUGGACUGGGAUGGACUGCGAUGGAGAUGGGAUGGACUGGGAUGGGAUGGGAUGGACUGGGAUAGACUGGGAUGGAGAUGGGAUGGACUGAGAUGGACUGGGAUGGACUGGGAUGGGAUGGAGAUGGACUGGGAUGGACUGGGAUGGACUGGGAUGGGACUGGGAUGGAGUGGGAUGGGAAUGGGAUGGGAUGGGAUGGACUGGGAUGGACUGGGAUGGGAUGGAGAUGGACUGGGAUGGACUGGGAUGGGAUGGGAUGGGAUGGGAUGGGGUGGGAUGGGGUGGACUGGGAUGGACUGGGAUGGAGAUGGGAUGGGGUGGGGUGGGAUGGAGCUGGGAUGGACUGGGAUGGGAAUGGGAUGGACUGCGAUUGACUGGGGUGGGAAUGGGAUGGACUGGGAUGGACUGGGAUGGAGAUGGGAUGGAGAUGGGAUGGGGUGGGGUGGGAAUGGGAUGGACUGGGAUGGAGAUGGGAUGGGAUGGGGUGGGAUGGGAUGGGAUGGACUGGGAUGGAGAUGGGAUGGAGAUGGGAUGGACUGCGAUGGGAUGGGGUGGGAUGGGGUGGACUGGGAUGGAAUGGGAUGGACUGAGAUGGACUGGGAUGGAAUGGGAUGGGAUGGGAUGGG